This 229-nucleotide long non-coding RNA is filed under the name Solanum tuberosum (potato). RNAcentral's name for it is "long non-coding RNA (STUB_LNC003808)". The record is from RNAcentral. Lineage: Eukaryota; Viridiplantae; Streptophyta; Magnoliopsida; Solanales; Solanaceae.
AUAUGUUAAAAAUAACAUGUAAAAGUGAAAAAUAUAUUUUUGAAAUAAUGGAUAACUAAAAGUGAACAGAGGAGUAGAUGUAUUUUACUUCAUUAAAUUACUUAACUAUGAUAAAUUAUACGGAAAAUUGUCAAAAUGCUUGUUCCAAAAAUGUCCUAUUAUUAUUUUUGGUAAAGAAAUGUCCUUUUUCUAAUACAUUCUUUUUCCUAAUAAAAAUAUUGUAACCAUC